RNAcentral lists this unclassified non-coding RNA (838 nucleotides) under Hevea brasiliensis (rubber tree). The record is from RNAcentral. Lineage: Eukaryota; Viridiplantae; Streptophyta; Magnoliopsida; Malpighiales; Euphorbiaceae.
GGAAUAGGAUUCCAUUUUCUGGUUUCUAGUGCCUGGCCCCAUGUUGGUGUUAAAAUCAGGUUAUUAACCCUUUUGAUUCCUGUUUUCUUCAUUCUAGGUCAGUAAAAACUCAGGUAAUAGUAAAAGCUCUAUGAGAAAGUUCUUCAGUUGACAGUGUCUAUAAAUUCUUAUUUAUUUUGCCACACUUGGGUCUUGGGAAUUGGUUGGCGUUAGUUGAUAAACAGCCACUUCAUGUAUAGGGUCCAAGAGUCUUUUGGAGCCAUAAGUAGUUUUAGAUUAGGUACAGAUAUGGUUUAGGUGCUUCAACAAUAAUCUACUGGUGGAUGUAUUUUUGCUUGUGAGCUUGUUUAGUCCUUUCAACCUUUAAACGCUUUUCAUAAUGGUCUUGUGAGAAGUAGAGUUCUUUAAGGCUUGUUUCUAGCUCUAGUCCUGUUUAGUCUGAGCAAGUCAAGUUGGUUGAUAAGUCAGUUUACUGCAACUAGCUUUUAGAUGAAACUUUUCUUCUUCCAUGCCCAAUAACCUAAAUAAGUGGAUUUUUAUUUUAUUCGUUGAACAACAUUUAUAGUAUCUAUUUCAUAUCCUCCCAGUCAUUUUGUAAUACAGUUCAAUAUUAGAAUUCUCAAAAAUGUGGUCACAUCAUGAAUUUCUCUUGGAGUUCAAUGCCCAUUUCUCUAACUUAUCAUGCUUUGUAUUUUUCUCCGAAGAAGCUGAACAAUUAUGAGGUUGAAAUAAGUAUGACUCAAGGUGCUCCAGGUGUAAAGAGCACCAUUCUCUUGGGGAAUGUGAGGUAUACAUUUACUAAAAGUGCCUAAAAUUACAUAAAAAAAAUUGCAUAAAA